Molecule: long non-coding RNA, 473 nt
Organism: Nymphaea colorata (pocket water lily)
Lineage: Eukaryota; Viridiplantae; Streptophyta; Magnoliopsida; Nymphaeales; Nymphaeaceae
Exons: 3
Source: RefSeq, a predicted model, not a curated record
AGGUACAAGAUCAAGAUGUCUAUCUCUAUAUUCCCUUCCUCGGUUUCUGUUGCUGAAUUUCUCCAGUUAUGACUUGUGGCCUAAUUUUGCUGAUGGCGGGUCAAAUUUGUCGUGAGAAAGGGAAGCCUCUAUGAGGCAGCACAUUGUUGUAGACAAGCUUUAGCAGCCGUUGUCUGGUGGGGCAUUUGCAUUGUACUCUCUGAUAUGCAAACAAGCAUGUAAAGCUCUGUCUUCUUCCAAACCAAUUGUCAUCUGAUGCUCAAGUUCAACUGAAGGUCCACCUCCACAGCUUGGGAUGUCAAUAACGAUUAAAGAAUGGAAGUAUAUAAGCUUCAUUGUCACUAAAAAGGAUGUUCUCGUGUUUGUUCUUAUUGGUACUUCUAUGUUUUGACAUAAGUGUCCACUGUCUUUUGAUGUCAUUGUUGAAUUUCUCCAAGAUAGUAAGGGUUCAUCUAGAUUGUCAUAUAGGAUUU